This is a long non-coding RNA of Clupea harengus (Atlantic herring), 1077 nucleotides long. The record is from Ensembl. Lineage: Eukaryota; Metazoa; Chordata; Actinopteri; Clupeiformes; Clupeidae.
CAACAUCACCUUAAGAACCGAUACAUCAGUGUAACGGUGCGGCUGCCCGUUACCGCUAACAUUGUACUUGAACAGGACAAAUGGAGUAGCCAGAGCGAGAUACAAACACAAUGUUUAUUGUGCACACAAACACGACAACUACAUUUCACCACAAUCACCGCAUCUGUAAGACACAAACAUAUAACAUACCGUCACAGAAGAGCCAUCCAUACAUCGCAUGGCAAACAUUGUACAUAGCUAAGACAAUGGCGAACUUCUUACCGUGCGGUGGCACGUUGACGUCCUGCGUCUGGACAGAGGGAAGACCCGACGUAAAGUCGGAAGGGUCUUUUGAACGUUGGCGCACGGAACGUAAGACGUGGGUGGUGGGAUGAUAGGGGUGUUUGUAGUAUGUAAUUACUGGGGAGUUAUUUAGAGGGCUAAAUAAUUAUGUAACAUGAUUGUAUUUGUAUUAACCUGUCUGUAUUAUUAUAGUGAAUGUAUUUAUUGAUAGUUAGGCAGAAUAGGUAUUAUUUUAAAGAUAAUUGAUCUAGGAUAGGUAAAAUGGUUUAGCCUGCGCAAGUAAAAUGCCAGAGCACAGCAUGUGGAGGUCAGAUAGGUCUAAGGUGAACAACAGCCAACACCUCUGAAAGUUGAGUGGAAAAGUACAUGGAGCUUACUUUUGAUUAUUGAAAGUGCCUUUGUUAUUUUGAAGUUAUUUAGUUAUUGGAAAUUAUUGUUUGGAGUUUUUUUUUUCUUUUCGAUGUUUUUCUCCAUACUGAGAUGUUUGCCUUCUGCCACGGGCGAGUAAAACCUUUUGGAUGAAUCCUAAAUCUUUGAAACACUGCCUCACAGCCUUUAUUUCACUGCCGCAAAGUCAGCCAUCCUACAAUCAGCAUCUGUGUUGCAAUACUUUGCAAAAGUGUGAAGAUUCAAACUUAUGGGAAAGGCAGAGGGUUAUCUUAUGAUUGUGAAGAGCUGGUGAGGGGUGAGGGGUUUCUUUGAGUGUAGAUGUUUGUGUGUUAGCAGUUGGACAAAUCAGGCAUCUGGUGAUUAUUGAGGUGUGAGGAGGAACAAAGGGAGGCUUAAAGCAUUUCA